RNAcentral lists this ribosomal RNA (305 nucleotides) under uncultured bacterium. RNAcentral describes it as "bacterial SSU rRNA". It matches the Rfam family "Bacterial small subunit ribosomal RNA", at positions 337 to 660 of the family's 1533-position model. The record is from RNAcentral.
GCCUCGGGGGGCAGCAGUGGGGGAUAUUGCGCAAUGGGGGAAACCCUGAUGCAGCGACGCCGCGUGGGUGAAGAAGCGCCUCGGCGCGUAAAGCCCUGUCAGCAGGGAAGAAAAUGACGGUACCUGAAGAAGAAGCCCCGGCUAACUACGUGCCAGCAGCCGCGGUAAUACGUAGGGGGCAAGCGUUAUCCGGAUUUACUGGGUGUAAAGGGGGCGCAGACGGCGAUGCAAGCCAGGAGUGAAAGCCCGGGGCCCAACCCCGGGACUGCUCUUGGAACUGCGUGGCUAGAGUGCAGGAGGGGCAG